RNA transcript from Nannospalax galili (Upper Galilee mountains blind mole rat), 401 nucleotides. It is a transcript of the gene named cytochrome c, somatic pseudogene, with no coding region annotated. The record is from RefSeq and is a predicted model, not a curated record. Lineage: Eukaryota; Metazoa; Chordata; Mammalia; Rodentia; Spalacidae. The transcript is spliced from 2 exons.
GGGGGACGUCCGGCUUCGGCGGGUGGCGAUCGUGGUGUUGCCGAGUGGAGAGCGAAUUAAAAAUGGGUGAUGUUGAGAAAGGCAAGAAGAUUUUUGUUCAGAAGUGUGCCCAGUGUCAUACCGUGGAAAAGGGAGGCAAGCACAAAACUGGACCAAAUCUCCAUGGUCUGUUUGGGAGGAAGACAGGUCAGGCGCCUGGAUUCUCUUACACAGAUGCCAACAAGAACAAAGGCAUCACCUGGGGAGAGGACACACUGAUGGAGUACCUGGAGAAUCCCAAAAAGUACAUCCCUGGAACAAAAAUGAUCUUCGCUGGGAUUAAGAAGAAGGGAGAGAGGGCAGACCUAAUAGCUUAUCUUAAAAAGGAGUAUAGAAUAAGCCACUAUAACAAAGACACCUAA